This 490-nucleotide ribosomal RNA is filed under the name uncultured bacterium. RNAcentral describes it as "partial 16S ribosomal RNA". It matches the Rfam family "Bacterial small subunit ribosomal RNA", at positions 28 to 507 of the family's 1533-position model. The record is from RNAcentral.
GAUGAACGCUAGCGGCAGGCCUAAUACAUGCAAGUCGAACGGGAUCCAGAUCAAAGCUUGCUUUGGUUUGGUGAGAGUGGCGCACGGGUGCGUAACGCGUGAGCAACCUACCCUUGUCAGGGGGAUAGCCCGGCGAAAGUCGGAUUAAUACCGCAUGACAUCAUUGAGAGGCAUCUUUCGAUGAUCAAAGAUUUAUCGGACAAGGAUGGGCUCGCGUGACAUUAGCUAGUUGGUAAGGUAACGGCUUACCAAGGCUACGAUGUCUAGGGGCUCUGAGAGGGGAAUCCCCCACACUGGUACUGAGACACGGACCAGACUCCUACGGGAGGCAGCAGUAAGGAAUAUUGGUCAAUGGACGGAAGUCUGAACCAGCCAUGCCGCGUGCAGGAAGACGGCCCUAUGGGUUGUAAACUGCUUUUAUACGGGAACAAACGUCGGUACGUGUACCGGUCUGAGUGUACCGUAAGAAUAAGGAUCGGCUAACUCCGUG